CCUACGGGUGGCAGCAGUGGGGAAUAUUGCGCAAUGGGCGAAAGCCUGACGCAGUGACGCCGCGUGAGGGAUGAAGGUCUUCGGAUCGUAAACCUCUGUCAGCAGGGAAGAACGGUCACUGUGCUAAUCAGCAGUGAAUUGACGGUACCUGCAAAGGAAGCACCGGCUAACUCCGUGCCAGCAGCCGCGGUAAUACGGAGGGUGCGAGCGUUAAUCGGAAUUACUGGGCGUAAAGCGCUCGUAGGCGGUAUGUCAAGUCAAGGGUGAAAUCCCCGCGCUCAACGUGGGAACUGCGUUGAAACUGGCAAACUGGAGUGGGCGAGAGGAUAGUGGAAUGCCAGGUGUAGGAGUGAAAUGCGUAGAUAUCUGGAAGAACAUCAGUGGCGAAGGCGGCUAUCUGGCACAUAACUGACGCUGAGGAGCGAAAGCGUGGGUAGCGAACAGGAUUAGAUACCCCUGUAGUC
Molecule: ribosomal RNA, 464 nt
Filed under: uncultured bacterium
Lineage: Bacteria
Description: partial 16S ribosomal RNA
Rfam family: Bacterial small subunit ribosomal RNA
Source: RNAcentral